Molecule: ribosomal RNA, 558 nt
Filed under: Yunganastes pluvicanorus
Lineage: Eukaryota; Metazoa; Chordata; Amphibia; Anura; Strabomantidae
Description: partial 16S ribosomal RNA
Rfam family: Bacterial large subunit ribosomal RNA
Source: RNAcentral
CGCCUCUUGAAAACUCAUAAGAGGUCCAGCCUGCCCAGUGACUUAGUUUAACGGCCGCGGUAUUCUAACCGUGCAAAGGUAGCGUAAUAACUUGUCUUCUAAAUAAGGACUAGUAUGAAAGGCAUCACGAGGAACAAUCUGUCUCCUUUUUCUAAUCAGUGAAACUAAUCUCCCCGUGAAGAAGCGGGGAUAAACAUAUAAGACGAGAAGACCCUAUGGAGCUUUAGACACACCAAUUACUGCCCGCACACUUAAACUUCAGAGGAGAACCACAGACAUGAAAUUGGGAGUCUUCGGUUGGGGCGACCACGGAGAAUAACCAAUCCUCCGAGAUGAAAAGAAUUAUUCAUUAACCACAAGCCACAGCUUCACGUAUCAACAAAUUGUCAUUUAUUGACCCAGUAACCUGAUCAACGAACCAAGUUACCCUAGGGAUAACAGCGCAAUCCACUUUGAGAGCUCAUAUCGACAGGUGGGCUUACGACCUCGAUGUUGGAUCAGGGUGUCCUAGUGGUGCAGCCGCUACUAAAGGUUCGUUUGUUCAACGAUUAAAACCCU